Molecule: long non-coding RNA, 1173 nt
Organism: Etheostoma cragini (Arkansas darter)
Lineage: Eukaryota; Metazoa; Chordata; Actinopteri; Perciformes; Percidae
Exons: 3
Source: RefSeq, a predicted model, not a curated record
AGGUUUUCCAAUGCGCUGCAUGCCAGGCAGCUACAAUAACAAUAAAAAAGCCAACAGAGUACACCCCAAUACAUGUCACACAACCAUUUGAGUUGCUAGGGAUGGACCUGGUUGUGAAAUUGCUCACAACUCAGAAUGGACAUCAAUAUAUUUGUGUCAUGAUUGACUAUUUUACUAAAUGGCCACAUGCUUACACUCUGAAGUCAAAGUCAGCAAAGGAGGUUACUUCUUGCAUUGUAAAAUGUGUCCAUCAGUUUGAAGCCCCUAAAAGGAUUCUAACUGACCAGAGCAAAGAAUUUGUCAAUUCCAUCAAAAAGACAGUUUGUGAUAUUUUGAACAUCAAAAGGACCCUCUGCUCACCUUAUCAUCCGCAAACUAAUGGUUUGGUCGAGUGGAUGAAUGGCACAAUUCAGAGGUGAGCUCUUUGUUUUACAACAUUAAGAUUUAAUACUUUUUACAUUUAUACACUAUGCAAUAUUAACACAGAAAUGGCAUACAGAGAAAUGUAUAAAUACAAUAACGAAAACGAAGAUCCCAGUAACAAAUAUCAUGAUGAUUAUGUCAUAAAUAUAAUGUUUUGAAAUUGUCUUCAUUCUCAGAGCCCUGAGCAAACUGGUGGGUCAGCAUCCAGAUACUUGGGACGAUUAUCUGGAUGCUGUAAUGUUUGGUCUCAGUACAAAAAACAAAACAAAAUUUUCGCCCUAUUAUCUGAUGUUCGGCAGAGAGGCUCGAUAUCCAUCAGAAGUUCCUGAGCAUUACAUGGUUGGCUUCUAUAUUUUUAUUUUUAAAUCCUUUUUUCUAUUUAAAUCGCUCUAGAUGUGUAUAUCACAGGCAUGCUUAACACACCCUUAUGUAAUGGAAAUGUAAUUUUGGUUAUAGCUUGACAGCACCGUGGAGGACGUUGUGGGGCAGGAAGAAGUGGCCCAAGACAUACAACAACAACAACACUUAAUGGACGUUGUUCGACAAAACCUGGCCAAGGGACACGAAUAAACAACAAAAAAAGAAAACCUACUGAGACUACUCCUAUCUUCAAAGUUGGGGACAGCGUUUUAAGGCAAAACAUUAGGAGCCAACAAAGGAAGGGUGGGAAAUUGGAGGAAAAUUUUGUAGGGCCAUUUAUAAUCAAACAUAAAAGUGCUGACCUGCAGGACAAAAAUGGAGCACUCCUGC